UGUGCACUCCCACUGCCUUCUCGCAGACGAGGAAGACAGGAUGGGUAAAGACGACGAAUCCCAUUGCCUGCAUAAUUUGUGGAAGUGACCAUCAAUCAAAACGGGACAUCAUAGAAGCACCCCACAAGUACCACAACCAGUAUACAAUCCAAGACUGAUGCAUACAUUGAAGUGAAUGAGGACAUUCUGAGGAUACAAAAGAGCAGGUAGAAUCUCACUUGGUGCACAACCAUAGAUAAAAUGGCAACUGUCCGCCAACGACUUGGAGGAAGAACAGAAAAAGCGUUGGAACGUUUCAACAGGAUAUCACCAUACGCCCAGUACACUGCAACAGUACUUGGUAAUGUGAUACACAGCGUGUAAAAGCACACUGCUAAGUACACAAAUUUGAAUCUCGAUGGUCUCUUCAUCGACUCCAAAAUCUCUCUAUCAAAUUAUCAUAGCAGAUUUUAAACCGAUUAGAAUCCACUUCAAAUGAUUUAUUAAUUUUAGUGAUACUUCACAUUGAAUGGCUUGAUAGCAGUAUGAUAUCGAGUUUAAAAUUGAGAGAGUGAAAGGACCAACUCUUCCCUACAGAGCUACUACAUAGUUUACAGGUUAGGAUUGCCUACAUAGUGAUGCCAUGCCCUCCAAAAGCAAAUAGGAUAUUAGUUGCACCCGUCAGAAACUCCACCUUGUCUGAAACUCCACCUGUAUGUCUGAUCCCAGCUACCUACAUCAUGAGAGAGAUGGUGAUGCUCUUUUCCCCCAAACAAUUAAUCACUUUUUCAAACA
Physcomitrium patens is the source of this 774-nucleotide non-coding RNA. Lineage: Eukaryota; Viridiplantae; Streptophyta; Bryopsida; Funariales; Funariaceae. The record is from RefSeq and is a predicted model, not a curated record.